Molecule: long non-coding RNA, 1177 nt
Organism: Panicum virgatum (switchgrass)
Lineage: Eukaryota; Viridiplantae; Streptophyta; Magnoliopsida; Poales; Poaceae
Exons: 2
Source: RefSeq, a predicted model, not a curated record
CGCCCCCCACGCGCCAGCCCAGCCUCGGCCCGCCCGUCUCGUCCCGCCGCGGCAGGCCUGGCUCCCCGCGCCGCCCGUGCUCGUCGCCGCGGGCCGGGUACUCCGCGUCGCCCCUGCUCCUCUGCGCCGCCGCCGCGUGCUGGGCCGGCAGCGCCGUCCCUGCUCCUCCGCCCCUGUUUCUCCACGCCGCCGGCAGCGCCCUUACUUUUUCUUGCCUCGUGUGCUCGUCGAGAUGCGGCACUCCGCCGCCGCCCCCGACCUUCGGCACCCUCGCCGACGGCCUCCAGCUCGAGCACUUGCGCCGCUGCUCCCGUGCUACAGCACCCCUACGGUACCCUCAAGCUCGAGCACUGCAUCACCGUCUCUGAGCUUGAGCACCGCGCCGCCCAUCCUGAGCUCGAGCUCUGCUAGGAGCGUGUGUGCGGCGCCUGCCUCGCAGCGCGUCCAUGAGGCUCGCGACGCCGACGACGGCGUCGACCGGGUGCGCAGGGACCCAAGGAUCCCGUCGUCCUCUUCCAGCCCCACUACUCGAGCUCGAGAGGCACCAAUCCCCUCCGAAUCGUGCCCACGCUACCCCUGGCUGGCCUCGAGAAGCAGCAGCGCGAGCAGCAAUGGCGUAGGAGAUCGAGCACACCCACCUCCCAAUCCACGGGAUCAACAUCCACGUUGCACAGGCGGGGGCGGAGGGGCCGGCAGUGGAGGGGCAGGCGGCGGCGGAGGGGUUAGAGCCGCACGCGCCCGCGCCGCUGGCCGGAGCAGCACACCCACGCGACGGAUCUUGGGCUGCGAUGGCGAGCAGAGGAGCGCGGCGGCGAGCAGGGAAGACGGAAGAGAGAGAGGUGUGCAAGAAUUAAAAAAAUUAAGAGAAAGGGAAAAAGAUAAGACAAUGACAUGUGGGCUCUAUAUAUGAUUGAGAAGUAGGGGCUAAGAAGUAGGAGAUUACUGUUGGAGUCUCUAGUUGAUAAAUUAAGGGGCUUAAAUAAGGACUAUUGCUGGAGUUGCUUAAGAGCACAACUUCAUGUCGGCCUACGAGAUUCCAUUCAUUGUGAUACAUACUGUGAUACAUAUGGUGCACCAACACCACCGACAUACUGUAUGCUACCGAUAGGAUUACUCCAAGGGAAACUCCAGAUGAACCACCAACGCGUGAUAAAAAACAUGUAAUGUGUUUGCAUCA